Molecule: ribosomal RNA, 439 nt
Filed under: uncultured bacterium
Lineage: Bacteria
Description: partial 16S ribosomal RNA
Rfam family: Bacterial small subunit ribosomal RNA
Source: RNAcentral
CUACGGGCGGCAGCAGUGGGGAAUAUUGCACAAUGGACGAAAGUCUGAUGCAGCAACGCCGCGUGGAGGAUGACACAUUUCGGUGCGUAAACUCCUUUUAUAUAGGAAGAUAAUGACGGUACUAUAUGAAUAAGCACCGGCUAACUCCGUGCCAGCAGCCGCGGUAAUACGGAGGGUGCAAGCGUUACUCGGAAUCACUGGGCGUAAAGAGCGUGUAGGCGGAUAUAUAAGUCAGAAGUGAAAUCCAAUAGCUUAACUAUUGAACUGCUUUUGAAACUGUAUAUCUAGAAUGUGGGAGAGGUAGAUGGAAUUUCUGGUGUAGGGGUAAAAUCCGUAGAGAUCAGAAGGAAUACCGAUUGCGAAGGCGAUCUACUGGAACAUUAUUGACGCUGAGACGCGAAAGCGUGGGGAGCAAACAGGAUUAGAUACCCGAGUAGUC